This 826-nucleotide long non-coding RNA is filed under the name Gallus gallus (chicken). The record is from RNAcentral. Lineage: Eukaryota; Metazoa; Chordata; Aves; Galliformes; Phasianidae.
UUCGGGAUCACCCAUCACUUAAUGGGAUCACCCGUUGACCAUUGGGAUCACCCAUCGGUCUUUGGGGUCGCCCAUCAACGGGAUCCCCUAUUAAUCACUGGGAUUGCUCAUCAAUUAAUGGGAUAAUUAAUGGGAUCUCCCAUAAAUCACUGGGAUCACCCAUUGACCAUUGGGAUCGCCCAUCGGUCUUUGGGAUCAGCCAUCAAUUAAUGGGGUCCCCUAUUAAUCACUGGGAUCAGUCAUCAAUUAAUGGGAUCCCCCAUUGUUCUUUGGGAUCGCCCAUCAAUGGGAUCCCCUAUUAAUCACUGGGAUCAGCCCUCAAUUAAUGGGAUCCCCUAUCGUUCUUUGGGAUCGCCCAUCAAUGGGAUCCCCUAUUAAUCACUGGGAUCAGCCAUCAAUUAAUGAGCCCCCCCCACCCCAUCGCUAAUUGCGACCGACCGCCCAUCUUUGGGAUCAGCCAUGGACUCCUGGGAUCCCCUAUUAACCUCUGGGGUCCGCCGCCGAUCAUUGGGGCCAUCCAUUGCUCUUUGGGGCCGCCCAUUGCUCUUUGGGGUCACCCGUUGUUCUUUGGGAUCCCCCACUGAUCUUUGGGAUUUCCGCCCCCCCCCCCUUUUGGGGUCUCCCGUUGCCCCCCUCCCUGUAGAUACUGUACAGCCCCUUUGUAGACGUCGGGAUUUUUUCUAUGCACUUUUGGGGACGGAUUUUUUGGGGGGGUUUUGGGGGGAGGGGGUUUUUAUGGUUUCGGUCGGUUUGGGGUUUUGGGGGUUUUUUUUGUUUUUUAUUUAAGGUGGGGGCGGAACCGCCCCAAAUAAAGAGGAACUUUGGA